RNAcentral lists this ribosomal RNA (253 nucleotides) under uncultured bacterium. Its description in RNAcentral is "partial 16S ribosomal RNA". It matches the Rfam family "Bacterial small subunit ribosomal RNA", at positions 524 to 776 of the family's 1533-position model. The record is from RNAcentral.
GACGAGCCACACGAACGUUAUUCGGAAUUACUGGGCUUAAAGGGUGCGUAGGCUGCGCGGAAAGUUGGGUGUGAAAUCCCUCGGCUCAACCGAGGAACUGCGCCCAAAACUGCCGUGCUCGAGGAAGAUAGAGGUAAGCGGAACUUACGGUGGAGCGGUGAAAUGCGUUGAUAUCGUAAGGAACACCUGUGGCGAAGGCGGCUUACUGGGUCUUUUCUGACGCUGAUGCACGAAAGCUAGGGGAGCAAACGGG